This 1032-nucleotide long non-coding RNA is filed under the name Cyanistes caeruleus (blue tit). RNAcentral describes it as "lncRNA (ENSCCEG00000006727.1)". Lineage: Eukaryota; Metazoa; Chordata; Aves; Passeriformes; Paridae. The record is from RNAcentral.
AUGGUCUUGUUCCAUGGAAAUUCCUGCUCCAUGGAAAUUCCUGUUCCGUGGCAAUUCCUGCUCCGUGAGAAUUCCUGUUCCAUUGGGAUCCCUGCUCCGUGGAAUUCCUGCUCCACCCUGCUCUGUUCCAGACAGGAUUGCUCCCCAAGACCAUCCCAUCCCAUCCCAUCCCAUGGAUCCCAUCCCAUCCCAUCCCAUCCCAUCCCAUGGAUCCCAUCCCAUCNNNNNNNNNNNNNNNNNNNNCUGGGGGAUCCUGGGAUCCGUGUCCUGGGGAUCUGGGAUCUGCACUCCAGGAUCCGUGUCCUGUGGGGUUCUGGGAUCAGGAUCCAGGAUCCGUGUCCUGGGCUGAUCUGGGAUCGGGAUCCAGGAUCCAUGUCCUGGGGAUCUGGGAUCGGGAUCCGGGAUCCUGGAUCCGUGUCCUGGGGUGAUCUGGGACCGGCACCGGAACACCCCCCAGGCUGUGACGGGAACAUUCCCUGGUCUGGGGAUGAUGAAGGGUCCCAAUUAACGCUGGAGCUGGGAACGUGUCCGGUCUCCGUCCCCCGGGAACACCGGGAUCGGCCUUUGGGAUCUGGGGGCUCCAUCCCUGCUCCCGCUGGGGCUGGGAAUCUCCUGGGGAAAUGUCCCGGUGCUGCCAUCCCUGUUCCAUUGGGAUUCCUGUUCCGUGGGAAUUCCCGUUCCAUUGGGAUUCCUGUUCUGUGGGAAUUCCUGUUCCGUGGGAAUUCCUGUUCUGUGGGAAUUCCUGUUCCAUUGGGAAUUCUUAUUCCAUUGGGAAUUCCUGUUCCGUGGGAAUUCCUGUUCUGUGGGAAUUCUUAUUCCAUUGGGAAUUCCUGUUCCGUGGGAAUUCCCGUUCCAUUGAGAUUCCUGUUCCGUUGGAUUCCUGUUCUGUGGGAAUUCCUGCUCCAUUGGGAAUUCCUGUUCCAUGGUCUUGUUCCAUGGGAAUUCCUGCUCCAUGGGAAUUCCUGUUCCCUUGGGAUUCCUGUUCCAUUGGGAUUCCUGUUCUGUGGGAAUUCCUGUUCCGUGGGAAUUCCU